RNAcentral lists this ribosomal RNA (291 nucleotides) under uncultured bacterium. Its description in RNAcentral is "partial 16S ribosomal RNA". It matches the Rfam family "Bacterial small subunit ribosomal RNA", at positions 333 to 638 of the family's 1533-position model. The record is from RNAcentral.
GGGGUCCUACGGGACGCAGCAGUGGGGAAUAUUGGGCAAUGGGCGCAAGCCUGACCCAGCAACGCCGCGUGAAGGAAGAAGGCUUUCGGGUUGUAAACUUCUUUUCUCAGGGACGAAGCAAGUGACGGUACCUGAGGAAUAAGCCACGGCUAACUACGUGCCAGCAGCCGCGGUAAUACGUAGGUGGCAAGCGUUAUCCGGAUUUACUGGGUGUAAAGGGCGUGUAGGCGGGACUGCAAGUCAGAUGUGAAAAACAUGGGCUCAACCUAUGGCCUGCAUUUGAAACUGUAG